AAAGAAGCUGAGGCAACUGGUGCAUUAUGUCGGGCCUUAGAACGGCCAACCUACGCAUGCUCGCGCGGUGCAGGCAACUCCGUUGUCUGGCAUGGUAACUCCGUCGCCAUCCAUCUUGAGCCGGUGAGAGGAGGAGAGAAACUCACCCCGGGAGCUUCGUGAGUGUUAUGAGUGAGUUGGAGUUUGAGUGACAAACCCCAAAUUAGUUUAGCCAUGGCAGAUUGCUUUAAACUCCUGAUUGUCGACCUUCUUGGGUUUGGACACGGUCUGCUCGGGCCAGGAGUCCAGAGUUAAGCUCAGUAAGCAUCGCGCCCAUAGGACACAGCGCAGAAAUUUGUGAGAAGUCAGGCUAACCCCAGGACUCUUUCGUGCGCCCCCAGGACAUACACAGUGGCUGCUUCUGUGCGGGGUGGUUAGGGGCGGGGGGGGGUAGCUGUGUGAGUGUAUGGUAAAUUAGUAGACAAAUGACUAUAAUGGCCAGUACGUGAACAAGUCCAAAUUUAAAGCUUAUGCCACAAGACAAGUUCUUUGAACUCUGCUUUGGAAAUGUAAGCAACGGAGUCUGCAAAAAUAAAUAACCAAAAGUGCCAAAGGCAGGCAACACUACGAGUAUCUACAGAACAUGCACAAAUGUAUCUACUCGUAGUCGUAUUAGUAGUCGUACUAGUAGAUGUUUAUGGUAAUGGGUUUUGCAUGCAAAUGCAUUGCAGUUCAUAAGCUGCUUAGCAGGUGUCCAGCAAACGAAUUCCAGCCAAAUGCAACACAAUUUAAGAUGCGGAAAAUCUAUAGAUAAAUAUCUGAAAAUAUCAGACAAAGGUAAAGAAGCCAUGUUCUUAAAAGUAUUGUCAAUAUGCACAAACAAAUGGAACACAAAUCUUUGGGGGGACAUCUAGUACCCACCCCGAGACGAGUCGAGUCACACAAUCCCACACUUGGGGCCAUCCGUCAAGGGGAACAGCCAGGCCAGGCCCCGUAUUUUAUCUUGGUUCGCUCACUCUCUCCCUCUUUUUCUCUCUCUCCCGCUCUCCAUGGGAAAGAAUGUGUCCC
This is a long non-coding RNA of Drosophila persimilis, 1047 nucleotides long. RefSeq lists it as uncharacterized. NCBI's taxonomy places the organism in Eukaryota, Metazoa, Arthropoda, Insecta, Diptera, Drosophilidae. The transcript is spliced from 4 exons. The record is from RefSeq and is a predicted model, not a curated record.